RNAcentral lists this small nuclear RNA (159 nucleotides) under Dasypus novemcinctus (nine-banded armadillo). Its description in RNAcentral is "U1 spliceosomal RNA (ENSDNOG00000042539.1)". It matches the Rfam family "U1 spliceosomal RNA". Rfam says of the family: U1 is a small nuclear RNA (snRNA) component of the spliceosome (involved in pre-mRNA splicing). Lineage: Eukaryota; Metazoa; Chordata; Mammalia; Cingulata; Dasypodidae. The record is from RNAcentral.
AUACUUACCUGGCAGGAGCUACCAUAACCACGAAGGUGCUUUUCCCAGGAUGAGGCUUAUCAGUUGCACUCCAGAUGUGCUGACCACUGUGAUUUCCUCAAAUGUGGAAACUUGGCUACAUAAUUUGUGGUAGUGGGGGUCUAUGUUCCUGCUCUCCCU